GUCCACGCCCUAAACGAUGUCUACUAGUUGUCGGGUCUUAAUUGACUUGGUAACGCAGCUAACGCGUGAAGUAGACCGCCUGGGGAGUACGGUCGCAAGAUUAAAACUCAAAGGAAUUGACGGGGACCCGCACAAGCGGUGGAUGAUGUGGAUUAAUUCGAUGCAACGCGAAAAACCUUACCUACCCUUGACAUGGCAGGAAUCCCGGAGAGAUUCGGGAGUGCUCGAAAGAGAACCUGCACACAGGUGCUGCAUGGCUGUCGU
RNAcentral lists this ribosomal RNA (264 nucleotides) under uncultured bacterium. Its description in RNAcentral is "partial 16S ribosomal RNA". It matches the Rfam family "Bacterial small subunit ribosomal RNA", at positions 793 to 1055 of the family's 1533-position model. The record is from RNAcentral.